This 420-nucleotide long non-coding RNA is filed under the name Nicotiana tabacum (common tobacco). RNAcentral describes it as "long non-coding RNA (NTAB_LNC019106)". Lineage: Eukaryota; Viridiplantae; Streptophyta; Magnoliopsida; Solanales; Solanaceae. The record is from RNAcentral.
ACUGAAUGAGAAAGUUCAGUUUAGGGUUUAAAACCCUAAUGCUGACUAAGAGGAAAAAGUUCACCUAAUGCUGACUAAAGGAAAAGUUCAGUUUAGGGUUUAAAACCCUAAUGCUGACUGAAUGGAAAAAAGUUCAGUUUAGGGUUUAAAACCCUAAUGCUGACUGAAGGAAAAAGUUCAGUUUAGGGUUUAAAACCCUAAUGCUGACUAAAGAAAAAAGUUCAGUUUAGGGUUUAAAACCCUAAUGCUGACUGAAUGGACAAGAGUUCAGUUUAGGGUUUAAAACCCUAAUGCUGACUGAAGGAAAGAGUUCAGUUUAGGGUUUAAAACCCUAAUGCUGACUAAAGGGAAGGUUCAGUCUAGGGUUUAAAACCCUAAUCUUGAUUAAAGGGAAAAGUUCAUUUUUAGGGUUUAAAACCC